This 819-nucleotide ribosomal RNA is filed under the name uncultured bacterium. RNAcentral's name for it is "bacterial SSU rRNA". It matches the Rfam family "Bacterial small subunit ribosomal RNA", at positions 33 to 849 of the family's 1533-position model. The record is from RNAcentral.
ACGCUGCGGCAGGCUUAAUACAUGCAAGUCGAGGGGCAGCACGGGUAGCAAUAUCUGGUGGCGACCGGCGCACGGGUGCGUAACGCGUAUGCAACCUACCUUUAACUGGGGCAUAGCUCCGAGAAAUCGGGAUUAAUUCCCCAUAACAUUCACUUGAGGCAUCUCAUAUGAAUUAAAGUUUCGGCGGUUAAAGAUGGGCAUGCGUGACAUUAGCUUGUUGGUGAGGUAACGGCUCACCAAGGCUACGAUGUCUAGGGGUUCUGAGAGGAUGAUCCCCCACACUGGUACUGAGACACGGACCAGACUCCUACGGGAGGCAGCAGUAGGGAAUAUUGGGCAAUGGACGCAAGUCUGACCCAGCCAUGCCGCGUGCAGGAUUGACAGCCUUAUGGGUUGUAAACUGCUUUUCUGCAGGAAGAACCCCCCGGUCGUGAUCGGGGCUGACGGUACUGCAGGAAUAAGCAUCGGCUAGCUCCGUGCCAGCAGCCGCGGUAAUACGGAGGGAUGCAAGCGUUAUCCGGAUUUAUUGGGUUUAAAGGGUGCGCAGGCGGAAUAGUAAGUCAGUGGUGAAAUCCCCUCGCUCAACGAGGGAACUGCCAUUGAUACUGUUAUUCUUGAGUUCAGUUGGAGUGGGCGGAAUGUGUUGUGUAGCGGUGAAAUGCUUAGAUAUAACACAGAACACCGAUCGCGAAGGCAGCUCACUAGCUUACCACUGACGCUGAGGCACGAAAGCGUGGGUAUCAAACAGGAUUAGAUACCCUGGUAGUCCACGCUGUAAACGAUGAUCACUAGCUGUUUGCGACAUACUGUAAGUGGCUA